GAUGAACGCUGACAGAAUGCUUAACACAUGCAAGUCUACUUGAUCCUUCGGGUGAUGGUGGCGGACGGGUGAGUAACGCGUAAAGAACUUGCCUUGCAGUCUGGGACAACGUCUGGAAACGGACGCUAAUACCGGAUAUUAUGAUUGAAUCGCAUGAUUUAAUUAUGAAAGCUAUAUGCGCUGCGAGAGAGCUUUGCGUCCCAUUAGUUAGUUGGUGAGGUAACGGCUCACCAAGACGAUGAUGCAUAGCCGAGUUGAGAGACUGAUCGGCCACAUUGGGACUGAGACACGGCCCAA
Molecule: ribosomal RNA, 297 nt
Filed under: uncultured bacterium
Lineage: Bacteria
Description: partial 16S ribosomal RNA
Rfam family: Bacterial small subunit ribosomal RNA
Source: RNAcentral